GCCAGGCGCUGUGGCGCAUGCCUGUAAUCCCAGCAGCUGGGGAGGCUGAGGCAGGAGGAUCGUCAGUUCAACGUUAGCCUCAAAAUUUAAUGAGGGCCAUGAACAACUUAGUGAGAGCCUUUCUCUA
RNAcentral lists this small RNA (127 nucleotides) under Marmota monax (woodchuck). The record is from RNAcentral. Lineage: Eukaryota; Metazoa; Chordata; Mammalia; Rodentia; Sciuridae.